AAAAACCUCGACUUCGGAAGAGGUGUAUUUAUUAGAUAAAAAACCAAUGCCCUUCGGGGCUCCUUGGUGAUUCAUAAUAACUUUACGAAUCGCAUGGYCUUGCGCCGGCGAUGGUUCAUUCAAAUUUCUGCCCUAUCAACUUUCGAUGGUAAGAUAGUGGCUUACCAUGGUGGCAACGGGUAACGGGGAAUUAGGGUUCGAUUCCGGAGAGGGAGCCUGAGAAACGGUAAGCUUUCUAUCCAUCACUUGAUCCCUUUCAGACACUAACAUAUCUCAAUAGGCUACCACAUCCAAGGAAGGCAGCAGGCGCGCAAAUUACCCAAUCCCGACACGGGGAGGUAGUAAGUCUAACCAUUCUAUUCCCCUCCUACAUUCUCUGUGCGGGUCUCUGUACGGGGGUGUGAUCCAGUGGGGCUUCGAUGGUGGUGUGGCCCUGGGGGAUGUCAAUCAUAUACUUUGAAGCCCCCACUGGGGAGCACCUUCCUAGAGGGAAUAACACUUACGGAACAACGUGCUAACAUCUCUUUCUAGGUGACAAUAAAUACUGAUGUGGAGCUCUUUUGGGUUUCACAAUUGGAAUGAGUACAGUCUAAAUCUCUUAACGAUUAGCAAUUGGAGGGCAAGUCUGGUGCCAGCAGCCGCGGUAAUUCCAGCUCCAAUAGCGUAUAUUAAAGUUGUUGCAGUUAAAAAGCUCGUAGUUGAACCUUGGGCCUGGCCGGCCGGUCCGCCUCACCGCGUGCACUGGUUCGGCUGGGCCUUUCCUUCUGGGAACGCAUGCCCUUCACUGGGUGUGCCGGGAMCAGGACUUUACUUGAAAAAUUAGAGUGUCAAGCAGCUAUGCUCGAUACAUAGCAUGAUAAUAGAUAGACGUGCGUCUAUUUGUGUUCUAG
RNAcentral lists this ribosomal RNA (890 nucleotides) under Placynthiella sp. RNAcentral's name for it is "partial small subunit ribosomal RNA". It matches the Rfam family "Eukaryotic small subunit ribosomal RNA", at positions 175 to 861 of the family's 1831-position model. The record is from RNAcentral. Lineage: Eukaryota; Fungi; Ascomycota; Lecanoromycetes; Trapeliales; Trapeliaceae.